RNAcentral lists this ribosomal RNA (500 nucleotides) under uncultured bacterium. Its description in RNAcentral is "partial 16S ribosomal RNA". It matches the Rfam family "Bacterial small subunit ribosomal RNA", at positions 28 to 523 of the family's 1533-position model. The record is from RNAcentral.
GACGAACGCUGGCGGCGUGCCUAAUACAUGCAAGUCGAGCGGACCACUUCGGUGGUCAGCGGCGGACGGGUGAGUAACACGUGGGCAACCUGCCUGUAAGACUGGGAUAACACCGGGAAACCGGUGCCAAUACCGGAUAAUCCUUCUCUUCUCAUGAAGAGAAGCUGAAAGACGGUUUCGGCUGUCACUUACAGAUGGGCCCGCGGCGCAUUAGCUAGUUGGUGAGGUAACGGCGCACCAAGGCAACGAUGCGUAGCCGACCUGAGAGGGUGAUCGGCCACACUGGGACUGGGACACGGCCCAGACUCCUACGGGAGGCAGCAGUAGGGAAUCUUCCGCAAUGGACGAAAGUCUGACGGAGCAACGCCGCGUGAGCGAUGAAGGCCUUCGGGUCGUAAAGCUCUGUUGUCAGGGAAGAACAAGUACCGGAGUAACUGCCGGUACCUUGACGGUACCUGACCAGAAAGCCACGGCUAACUACGUGCCAGCCGCCGCCGUAA